GACAGAGGGUGCAAGCGUUGUUCGGAAUCAUUGGGCGUAAAGGGCGCGUAGGCGGUUUUGUAAGUCAGAUGUGAAAGCCCAGGGCUUAACCUUGGAAGUGCAUCUGAAACUGUAUGACUGGAGUCUCGGAGAGGGUGGUGGAAUUCCCAGUGUAGAGGUGAAAUUCGUAGAUAUUGGGAGGAACACCGGUGGCGAAGGCGACCACCUGGACGAAGACUGACGCUGAGGCGCGAGAGCGUGGGGAGCAAACAGG
RNAcentral lists this ribosomal RNA (253 nucleotides) under uncultured bacterium. RNAcentral's name for it is "partial 16S ribosomal RNA". It matches the Rfam family "Bacterial small subunit ribosomal RNA", at positions 524 to 776 of the family's 1533-position model. The record is from RNAcentral.